RNAcentral lists this unclassified non-coding RNA (250 nucleotides) under plant metagenome. RNAcentral's name for it is "partial contains small subunit ribosomal RNA, internal transcribed spacer 1, and 5.8S ribosomal RNA". The record is from RNAcentral.
GUAGGUGAACCUGCGGAAGGAUCAUUAACUAGUAUUGAAGUCCACGGGGUCAAGCUUUCCGAAAGGAGGGUGGGGGGAUGUUUGGUUCCCCCUGCUUGGGCAGACUGGAGAGCAUGGCGCAACCGGCACACCUAGUGUGUCGGCCAAGUCAUGUUUGGCCUCUGCUGAUCGAGCUUGUCACCUGAAUUCUACUACCCUUGCUUUUUGCGCACCCAUUGUUUCCUCGGCAGGCUUGCCUGCCAGUAGGACC